This 138-nucleotide small nucleolar RNA is filed under the name Ornithorhynchus anatinus (platypus). The record is from RNAcentral. Lineage: Eukaryota; Metazoa; Chordata; Mammalia; Monotremata; Ornithorhynchidae.
CCCCUCUCAGGGUCGAACCUAGAGAAUUUCCAGUACUCUCCCAGUCUCGACUGUGGGAGGGAAAGUCAAGCAGAGGCAUACCCAUUCCAUUACUAGCUUGGGCAGUGGCUAGCGAGUGGAAGGCAAUCUGCAACAAGU